CCCGGGCUUGUAUUUCCUAUCAUGAUUACCUUGUUAAAGGGCUGCUGCUAACAAAUAAGCUAUCAAGCCAAAAGUUCGAAAUGGUGAAGUUGAAAACAUCCCUCCGUAAAUUUUACUGACGGUUGACCUUUAUGGAAUAUCAUUUUUUUACAGAUGAUAUCGGAUAUGUUCAUUAUGUCGUAACAACAAUCCCAUUCCCUUUUCAUGAAUGUGACCCAUACUGAAUUAGACUAUUUACUGGUUUAUAAUAUUGCUUAAGUUGCUGCUGCUAUCAGUUGUCUCUGUUGCUAUGAAAGAUUUUGGCUUUUGUGUUUUCAUCUAUUAUCUUAAAAUUUAUAUAGUAGAUUGGUAGAAACUGUAAACAACAAAAUUAUCAGUUGUACAAGAUCUACCAUGUGAUACAAAACCAAUAGAUGACCAUGAGACAUUGUCAUCUCAGGAUCACCAGUAAAGAG
RNAcentral lists this long non-coding RNA (455 nucleotides) under Mytilus galloprovincialis (Mediterranean mussel). The record is from RNAcentral. Lineage: Eukaryota; Metazoa; Mollusca; Bivalvia; Mytilida; Mytilidae.